This 776-nucleotide ribosomal RNA is filed under the name uncultured Neocallimastigales. RNAcentral describes it as "partial large subunit ribosomal RNA". It matches the Rfam family "Eukaryotic large subunit ribosomal RNA", at positions 16 to 644 of the family's 3401-position model. Lineage: Eukaryota; Fungi; Neocallimastigomycota; Neocallimastigomycetes; Neocallimastigales. The record is from RNAcentral.
CACGCACACACGCGCGGCAUAUCAAUAAGCGGAGGAAAAGAAACUAACAAGGAUUCCCUUAGUAACGGCGAGUGAAGCGGGAAGAGCUCAAAUUUGAAAUCUUCAAGGUUCUACCUUGACGAAUUGUAGUUUAUAGAAGUGUUUUCUGUUAGUAGGAGUGGCAAAAGUUCUUUGGAAUAGGACAUCAUAGAGGGUGAGAAUCCCGUAUUUGGUCAUUCCUUUCUAGCUUUGUGAUACACUUUCAACGAGUCGGAUUGUUUGGGAAUGCAGUCCAAAAUGGGUGGUAAAUUUCAUCUAAAGCUAAAUAUUGGCGAGAGACCGAUAGCGAACAAGUACCGUGAGGGAAAGAUGCAAAGAACUUUGAAAAGAGAGUUAAACAGUACGUGAAAUUGUCAAAAGGGAAGCGUUUGACACCAGUGUUGUUUUUCCGAAAAUCAAUUACGAAUGUUUUAUUUUUGAGGAGUUAUGACUUCAUCGGCUUGCUCCUUUCUUUAUGAAACUUUCUUAAUGCACUUUUCGGUUAACAAGUCAACAUCAAUUUCUUUUGUUGUAAAAGGGUAUGAGGAAGGUGGCUUUCUUUUCGGAGAAAGUGUUUAUAGCCUUGUGCCUCUGCAAUCGGAGAGAUUGAGGUCUGCAGCGUAGAUCCUUCGGGGUUAGAUACGUUUGUGCUAAGUUAUAGCUUUUCAUAGACAACUUGUUGACUAUGUUUAGUCUUGUAGCUUACUCGCUGACGCUAUUUUACCUACGCUUAGGAUGUUGAUAGUCACAGCGUGUAC